AAAUGUGUCCAAACCUCCUUCACUAAGCCUACUCUCAUCAGAUCUCAGAAACUAAGCAAGGCUGGGCCUGGUUAGUACUCGGAUAAGAGACUACUGGGAAUAUCAGGUGCCACAGUGG
Molecule: ribosomal RNA, 118 nt
Filed under: Periophthalmus magnuspinnatus
Lineage: Eukaryota; Metazoa; Chordata; Actinopteri; Gobiiformes; Gobiidae
Source: RNAcentral